Molecule: ribosomal RNA, 406 nt
Filed under: uncultured bacterium
Lineage: Bacteria
Description: bacterial SSU rRNA
Rfam family: Bacterial small subunit ribosomal RNA
Source: RNAcentral
GAGUUUGAUCCUGGCUCAGGAUAAACGCUGGCGGCGUGCAUGAGACAUGCAAGUCGAACGGACGAUCGAGGCUUGCCUUGACCGUUAGUGGCGGACGGCUGAGUAACGCGUAGGUGACCUGCCCCGAAGUGGGGAAUAACUGCCCGAAAGGGUGGCUAAUACCGCAUGUGGUGGUGUGUUCAUUCACACCAGUAAAGCCGCAAGGCGCUUCGGGAGGGGCCUGCGUCCGAUUAGCUCGUUGGUGGGGUAACGGCUCACCAAGGCGACGAUCGGUAGGUGGUCUGAGAGGACGAUCACCCAGACUGGGACUGAGACACGGCCCAGACUCCUACGGGAGGCAGCAGUCGGGAAUUUUGCGCAAUGGACGAAAGUCUGACGCAGCAACGCCGCGUGAGGGAUGAAGGCC